CCUACGGGUGGCAGCAGUGAGGAAUAUUGGUCAAUGGGCGCGAGCCUGACCCAGCGAAGUAGCGUGAAGGAUGACUGCCCUACGGUUUGUAAACUUCUUUUACACAGGAAUAAAGUGAGUCACGUAUUCCUUUUUGUAUGUACUUUAUGAAUAAGGAUCGGCUAACUCCGUGCCAGCAGCCGCGGUAAUACGGAGGAUCCGAGCGUUAUCCGGAUUUAUUGGGUUUAAAGGGAGCGUAGAUGGGUUGUUAAGUCAGUUGUGAAAGUUUGCGGCUCAACCGUAAAAUUGCAAUUGAUACUGGCAGUCUUGAGUACAGUUGAGGUAGGCGGAAUUCGUGGUGUAGCGGUGAAAUGCUUAGAUAUCACGAAGAACUCCGAUUGCGAAGGCGACUUACUAAACUGCCACUGACAUUGAUGCUCGAAAGUGUGGGUAUCAAACAGGAUUAGAUACCCUAGUAGUC
Molecule: ribosomal RNA, 460 nt
Filed under: uncultured bacterium
Lineage: Bacteria
Description: partial 16S ribosomal RNA
Rfam family: Bacterial small subunit ribosomal RNA
Source: RNAcentral